AUUUAAAUAGCUUAAUGUCAAAAGCAUAACAUUGAAGUUGUUAAUAUGAUAUUCGUAUCUUUAAAUA
Molecule: transfer RNA, 67 nt
Filed under: Dielis tejensis
Lineage: Eukaryota; Metazoa; Arthropoda; Insecta; Hymenoptera; Scoliidae
Also listed under: 1 other name
Description: tRNA-Phe
Rfam family: tRNA
About the family: Transfer RNA (tRNA) molecules are approximately 80 nucleotides in length.
Source: RNAcentral